GACGAACGCUGGCGGCGUGCUUAACACAUGCAAGUCGAACGGAAAGGCCCUGCUUUUGUGGGGUGCUCGAGUGGCGAACGGGUGAGUAACACGUGAGUAACCUGCCCUUGACUUUGGGAUAACUUCAGGAAACUGGGGCUAAUACCGGAUAGGAGCUCCUGCUGCAUGGUGGGGGUUGGAAAGUUUCGGCGGUUGGGGAUGGACUCGCGGCUUAUCAGCUUGUUGGUGGGGUAGUGGCUUACCAAGGCUUUGACGGGUAGCCGGCCUGAGAGGGUGACCGGCCACAUUGGGACUGAGAUACGGCCCAGACUCCUACGGGAGGCAGCAGUGGGGAAUAUUGCACAAUGGGCGGAAGCCUGAUGCAGCAACGCCGCGUGCGGGAUGACGGCCUUCGGGUUGUAAACCGCUUUCGCCGGUGACGAAGCGUGAGUGACGGUAAUGGGUAAAGAAGCACCGGCUAACUACGUA
This 468-nucleotide ribosomal RNA is filed under the name uncultured bacterium. Its description in RNAcentral is "partial 16S ribosomal RNA". It matches the Rfam family "Bacterial small subunit ribosomal RNA", at positions 28 to 507 of the family's 1533-position model. The record is from RNAcentral.